GUCUGMCCUGCCCACUGAAUAUUUUCUUUUAACGGCCGCGGUACUCUGACUGUGCAAAGGUAGCAUAAUCAUUAGCUUUUUAAUUGAGAGCUGGAAUGAAAGGUCGAACAAGAAUUAGACUAUCUAUAUGUUUAAAAUUUAAGUUAAUUUUUGUGUGAAAAAGCAUAAAUAUACCGGAAAGACGAUAAGACCCUAUAAAUCUUUAUAAUAGCGAAAUUUUGUUAUAUAAAUUUUUAGUCAAAAAAAUAACAAGGAGUUGUUUAUUAUGUUGGGGCGACAUUAAUAUUUAAUAAACCGUUAAAUUAUAAAACAAAUAUAAUUGAGAAAAAGUAAUAGAUCUUAGUUAAAAAUUUAAAAUAUAAGUUACUUUAGGGAUAACAGCAUAAUUUCUUUAAAGAGUCCUAAUCGACAAAGAAGUUUGUGACCUCGAUGUUGAAUUAAAAAUUCU
Molecule: ribosomal RNA, 448 nt
Filed under: Petrolisthes elongatus
Lineage: Eukaryota; Metazoa; Arthropoda; Malacostraca; Decapoda; Porcellanidae
Description: partial 16S large subunit ribosomal RNA
Rfam family: Bacterial large subunit ribosomal RNA
Source: RNAcentral